This 497-nucleotide ribosomal RNA is filed under the name uncultured bacterium. Its description in RNAcentral is "partial 16S ribosomal RNA". It matches the Rfam family "Bacterial small subunit ribosomal RNA", at positions 28 to 507 of the family's 1533-position model. The record is from RNAcentral.
GAUGAACGCUGGCGGCGUGCCUAAUACAUGCAAGUCGAGCGAACGGACGAGAAGCUUGCUUCUCUGAUGUUAGCGGCGGACGGGUGAGUAACACGUGGAUAACCUACCUAUAAGACUGGGAUAACUUCGGGAAACCGGAGCUAAUACCGGAUAAUAUUUUGAACCGCAUGGUUCAAAAGUGAAAGACGGUCUUGCUGUCACUUAUAGAUGGAUCCGCGCUGCAUUAGCUAGUUGGUAAGGUAACGGCUUACCAAGGCAACGAUGCAUAGCCGACCUGAGAGGGUGAUCGGCCACACUGGAACUGAGACACGGUCCAGACUCCUACGGGAGGAAGCAGUAGGGAAUCUUCCGCAAUGGGCGAAAGCCUGACGGAGCAACGCCGCGUGAGUGAUGAAGGUCUUCGGAUCGUAAAACUCUGUUAUUAGGGAAGAACAUAUGUGUAAGUAACUGUGCACAUCUUGACGGUACCUAAUCAGAAAGCCACGGCUAACUACGUG